Molecule: ribosomal RNA, 760 nt
Filed under: Bacillus pumilus
Lineage: Bacteria; Bacillati; Bacillota; Bacilli; Caryophanales; Bacillaceae
Description: bacterial SSU rRNA
Rfam family: Bacterial small subunit ribosomal RNA
Source: RNAcentral
GCGGGUGCUAUACAUGCAAGUCGAGCGGACAGAAGGGAGCUUGCUCCCGGAUGUUAGCGGCGGACGGGUGAGUAACACGUGGGUAACCUGCCUGUAAGACUGGGAUAACUCCGGGAAACCGGAGCUAAUACCGGAUAGUUCCUUGAACCGCAUGGUUCAAGGAUGAAAGACGGUUUCGGCUGUCACUUACAGAUGGACCCGCGGCGCAUUAGCUAGUUGGUGAGGUAACGGCUCACCAAGGCGACGAUGCGUAGCCGACCUGAGAGGGUGAUCGGCCACACUGGGACUGAGACACGGCCCAGACUCCUACGGGAGGCAGCAGUAGGGAAUCUUCCGCAAUGGACGAAAGUCUGACGGAGCAACGCCGCGUGAGUGAUGAAGGUUUUCGGAUCGUAAAGCUCUGUUGUUAGGGAAGAACAAGUGCAAGAGUAACUGCUUGCACCUUGACGGUACCUAACCAGAAAGCCACGGCUAACUACGUGCCAGCAGCCGCGGUAAUACGUAGGUGGCAAGCGUUGUCCGGAAUUAUUGGGCGUAAAGGGCUCGCAGGCGGUUUCUUAAGUCUGAUGUGAAAGCCCCCGGCUCAACCGGGGAGGGUCAUUGGAAACUGGGAAACUUGAGUGCAGAAGAGGAGAGUGGAAUUCCACGUGUAGCGGUGAAAUGCGUAGAGAUGUGGAGGAACACCAGUGGCGAAGGCGACUCUCUGGUCUGUAACUGACGCUGAGGAGCGAAAGCGUGGGGAGCGAACAGGAUUAGAUAC